GUGGCUAUAGCUCAGUUGGUUAGAGUACCAGGUUGUGGCCCUGGGGGUCGUGGGUUCGAGUCCCACUAGCCACCCCA
RNAcentral lists this transfer RNA (77 nucleotides) under Clostridia bacterium. RNAcentral's name for it is "tRNA-His". It matches the Rfam family "tRNA". From Rfam's summary of the family: Transfer RNA (tRNA) molecules are approximately 80 nucleotides in length. Their secondary structure includes four short double-helical elements and three loops (D, anti-codon, and T loops). Further hydrogen bonds mediate the characteristic L-shaped molecular structure. tRNAs have two regions of fundamental functional importance: the anti-codon, which is responsible for specific mRNA codon recognition, and the 3' end, to which the tRNAs corresponding amino acid is attached (by aminoacyl-tRNA synthetases). tRNAs cope with the degeneracy of the genetic code in two manners: having more than one tRNA (with a specific anti-codon) for a particular amino acid; and 'wobble' base-pairing, i.e. permitting non-standard base-pairing at the 3rd anti-codon position. Lineage: Bacteria; Bacillati; Bacillota; Clostridia. The record is from RNAcentral. RNAcentral also lists the same sequence under 1 other name.